GGUUGGUGGCCACUGGUGUACCGGUUGUUCGAGAGAGCACGUGCCGGGUAGCCACGCCACACGGGGUAAGAGCUGAACGCAUCUAAGCUCGAAACCCACUUGGAAAAGAGACACCGCAGAGGUCCCCUGUACAAGACAGGGUCGAUAGACUCGGGGUGUGCGCGUCGAGGUAACGAGACGUUAAGCCCACGAGCACUAACAGACCAAAGCCAUCAUUCA
RNAcentral lists this ribosomal RNA (219 nucleotides) under Haloarcula terrestris. RNAcentral's name for it is "partial 23S ribosomal RNA". It matches the Rfam family "Archaeal large subunit ribosomal RNA", at positions 2767 to 2987 of the family's 2987-position model. The record is from RNAcentral. Lineage: Archaea; Methanobacteriati; Methanobacteriota; Halobacteria; Halobacteriales; Haloarculaceae.